RNAcentral lists this ribosomal RNA (512 nucleotides) under uncultured bacterium. RNAcentral's name for it is "partial 16S ribosomal RNA". It matches the Rfam family "Bacterial small subunit ribosomal RNA", at positions 28 to 507 of the family's 1533-position model. The record is from RNAcentral.
GAUGAACGCUGGCGGCGUGCCUAAUACAUGCAAGUCGAACGAAACUUCUUUAUCACCGAGUGCUUGCACUCACCGAUAAAGAGUUGAGUGGCGAACGGGUGAGUAACUCGUGGGCAACCUGCCCAAACGAGGGGGAUAACACUUGGAAACAGGUGCUACUACCGCAUUACCAUAGUUACCGCAUGGUAACUAUGUAAACGGUGGCUAUACUACCGCCUUUGUAUGGGCUCGAGGCGCAUUAGCUAGUUGGUCGGGUAACGGGUUACUAGGGCAGUGAUGCGUAGCCGAAUUGAGGGGUGGAUCGGCCACAUUGGGAGGGAGACAAGGCCCAAACGCCUACGGGAGGCAGCAGUAGGGAAUCUUCCACAAUGGGCGAAAGCCUGAUGGAGCAACGCCGCGUGGGGGAAGAAGGUGUUCGGAUCGUAAAGCCCUGUUGUUGGAGAAGAAAGGGCGUGGGAGUAACUGUGCACGGUUCGACGGUAGCUAAACAAAAAGCCACGGCUAACUACGUG